This 240-nucleotide ribosomal RNA is filed under the name uncultured bacterium. RNAcentral describes it as "partial 16S ribosomal RNA". It matches the Rfam family "Bacterial small subunit ribosomal RNA", at positions 29 to 296 of the family's 1533-position model. The record is from RNAcentral.
AGCGAACGCUGGCGGCAUGCUUAACACAUGCAAGUCGCACGGCCCGCAAGGGCAGUGGCGGACGGGUGAGUAACGCGUAGGUAUCUGUCUCCGGGUGGGGGAUAACGGUUGGAAACGACUGCUAAUACCGCAUGAUGCCCGAGGGCCAAAGGCGCAAGUCGCCUGGAGAGGAGCCUGCGUACGAUUAGCUUGUUGGCGGGGUAAAGGCCCACCAAGGCGACGAUCGUUAGCUGGUCUGAG